RNAcentral lists this long non-coding RNA (624 nucleotides) under Mustela putorius furo (domestic ferret). RNAcentral describes it as "lncRNA (ENSMPUG00000024371.1)". Lineage: Eukaryota; Metazoa; Chordata; Mammalia; Carnivora; Mustelidae. The record is from RNAcentral.
CCUGUCCCCACUUCAAGGCCUGGCAGCCGCCUCUGGAGCAACUGGGGUAUCACCAUGGCAACCAGGCCAGGCCAGUGUGUGGGUGGGGCUGCUUUAAAGACUUAUUGCCCCAAAACCCAGGCGUGAUUCUUUCAUUUUGCUUCUUCUGCAGGUGGGACUCUUCCGGAAUCCACACAAGAUUCCCCACGCAGGAUCCACACAGGGAGCCACACAGCCAAAAGCAGCUCAGGUCUUCCAUCACAGGGGCCUUGGUUGGGUCAGAGGAACAGAGAGAAGCUUUUCCUGGCUUCCCUACUUCCAAAUCCCGAAGAUCGGCUCUGAUUGGCUUAGCGGGCACCAUCUAAGGAAACUGAUGCGCAGAGACGAAGUAACUUGCCCAAGUCUACACGGCCAGUAAACAGCAAGCAAUGGGAUUUGAUCCGAGGCAGUCUGGCUCAAACACGUGCCCUCGCAAAAGCCACCAUCUUGAAUAUAUUUAUGUUUAGAUAUGUCCGUUUUUGUCAAAAAGUAUAAUAAGAAGUAACGUUUUAUUAUCAAGGCUCAGUCAUAGAGGUGUUUUCAACACUCAAGGUUGCUCGUUUUUGUUUUUCUAAGAUAAAGUAGUUGUGCUAAUAACAUGAAGGC